CGCGCGGGGGAACGCUGAGGGCCUGUUCCGGGCCGCGUUCCCCGCGCCCCCGCCUCUCCUCCCAGCGCCCCGCAGCGGCGCGCACCUGGCCCCGGCCCCUCCGGAAGCGGCUUUGGGCCGAGGCUGGGCUUGCAUCCCCACUUUCGGGUCUCUUCUGCGGCUUUGGGGACCCCAGCGCAGCGCGCCUGCCCUUUGCCCCACUCCCGCGUCUCACACCCCAUCCGCAGCUGGGGCCGGAGGGUCCCGGGGGAGAAAUAAGACGGAGGAAACCGCGAAAUCAGGUCCAAGGGGAAAAAAGAGAGACAAAGGGGAUGGAUUCUUCCCCCGCCCACCCCCACUUCUGUUCUUGGCAACAACUUCCAGAGGCUCCAGGGAAGGGGAAUUUGAUAACCAUUUUUCCCUUGCACCACCUCGCCCCCAAACCCAGGACUUUAGUAGCGCAGAUUCUACUUAAUCUUCCUUGGAAGUCCAAUCUGCAUGUUUAAGAGAGAGAUCACAAGCAGGCAGAGAGGCAGGAGGAAGCAGGCUCCCU
Lutra lutra (Eurasian river otter) is the source of this 532-nucleotide long non-coding RNA. RefSeq lists it as uncharacterized. The record is from RefSeq and is a predicted model, not a curated record. The transcript has 3 exons. NCBI's taxonomy places the organism in Eukaryota, Metazoa, Chordata, Mammalia, Carnivora, Mustelidae.